GAUGAACGCUGGCGGCGUGCCUAAUACAUGCAAGUCGAGCGAACAGACGAGGAGCUUGCUCCUCUGACGUUAGCGGCGGACGGGUGAGUAACACGUGGAUAACCUACCUAUAAGACUGGGAUAACUUCGGGAAACCGGAGCUAAUACCGGAUAAUAUAUUGAACCGCAUGGUUCAAUAGUGAAAGACGGUUUUGCUGUCCCUUAUAGAUGGAUCCGCGCCGCAUUAGCUAGUUGGUAAGGUAACGGCUUACCAAGGCGACGAUGCGUAGCCGACCUGAGAGGGUGACCGGCCACACUGGAACUGAGACACGGUCCAGACUCCUACGGGAGGCAGCAGUAGGGAAUCUUACGCAAUGGGCGAAAGCCUGACGGAGCAAUGCCGCGUGAGUGAUGAAGGUCUUCGGAUCGUAAAACUCUGUUAUUAGGGAAGAAAAAAUGUGGAUGAAACCAUGCCCGUCUUGACGGUACCUAAUCAGAAAGCAACGGCUAACUACGUG
Molecule: ribosomal RNA, 497 nt
Filed under: uncultured bacterium
Lineage: Bacteria
Description: partial 16S ribosomal RNA
Rfam family: Bacterial small subunit ribosomal RNA
Source: RNAcentral